Molecule: non-coding RNA, 1041 nt
Organism: Lolium perenne
Lineage: Eukaryota; Viridiplantae; Streptophyta; Magnoliopsida; Poales; Poaceae
Source: RefSeq, a predicted model, not a curated record
AGAUGAAGGAGCAAGGAUCGAGGACAUGCCUAUGCAACUUCCGGAGUAUCUUGUUGAUGAAGUUUUCAUAACAUGGUCUCAAAGAUGUAGAUGAACAAUGAGCUUGCCGGAUACACCACCUUUCGAUGAUACAUUUCAGAACUUCCAUAGCAAGAAGUGGUCAACAACCACGACAUGCAGCCUUUUCUAUGCCAAGUUCCAGACUUCCAGUACGGGAACCCUGAUGCCGUGUGCUCCCCGCUGAACAAUGCAAAGAAGAAUGGGAAAGACUUGGUGUUCUCAAAGGAUAUAAGAAAGUUAGGAGAUGCAAUCACAUGGUGAUGAUAACGGUGAAGCAACAGUUUUUGUUGUUGUCGCAACCUACAAGCAAAUGCAGAUGUGGUUGACAACUAUGGCACAUGUGGCUUGGUCAAAAGAAGAAAGUGCAAACGGCGGCUUAUGAUUUCUACCUCAACGCAUGCCCCGGCAGGCAAAACAACAUGAAAAUAUAAGGUAGGGUGGAUUAGUGUUAAAGCAAUUUUGUUGUCAAGGUAAUGGCUCAUGCUACAAAGGUUUUAUGAAAUGAGUGCCUCUGCAGCAGUAGGAUCAAAUGCACCAGUAUGAAACUGGGCCUAACCAUGUUGUAUGUUCUUUCUAGGAGAUCAGAGCAUGUUUCCUUUUUUGCCAUGCCUACAUCUCGAUGUAGGUAAUGCUAUUUUUAUUUGGCCGUGAUAUUAUUAUUAGCGUAAGGAUCAUUUGGUGAAAAAUCAUAUCAGCCUUCUCUCUAAUAAGUAAACUUAAUAGUAUGUUAUAGUGCAUCAUUACCAUACAAAGCAAUCUGACUUGACAAGUGGAUGUUAUAAUUUCUGUUUGCUUGAAAUGGGAGUUGAGGGUUGAUUUGUGCAAUAUUUGGCUAUGGUUAUUCUAUUACAAGUGCAUAUCCCACAUUUGAUUGAUUUACUGGAAAACUUGCAUUGAAAUUAGAUAAUGGUUUCUUGCACACCACUUUCCUUUCUCCGGAUGCCAUAUAAUAAUAACAGCUACACAGUUCAACAUGAUGCC